CCGGGAAAACUGUGGCUGUGUAGGUUGAUCGAGAGCAAGGAGUUGCAAAGAUUUUCGCGCCUCUCCGUUGCUGAAUGGCGGAGUGGUGGAAUAGCGGCUUGGUGGCGUCUUGCGGGGGUAUAUAAGGCGGCCCACUGGCGGCCGCAAGCCAUAAGCAAAGUGAAUUUUCAAGUGUGUGAAAUUAAAAGUGGGUAAAGGAAAAGUUUGUCAUGUUAAUGCUAAUGCUAAUGAGCUCUUGUUGCAGCUUCAACAUAGCUUUAGCGUGCACCUUAAAUACCUUUUGUGUGUUUUUCUGGCCACUUGCAACUGCAGUGGCUCGCGAAGGGACCAACGAACGCUUCGAGGCAGAAUCCACUGAGAGGCGGUACAACCACAGGGCGUCUCAACUCGUGGCAUCUGAGGCGCGAGUCGCCACUAUUGGACAACGGCGCUUUUAAGCGCCACCCAAAGAGAAUCGUAUAAAAGCGUCGUCGAAGCCAGACGAGCCAUCCAUCGGCCAGACGCAGAGGAAAGGCCGCAGCUUCCGGAUUUUCCACCGGACGCCGCUUCUUCGGCAUGCGGUAGCCUCGUAUGGAAGCGCUUUCAACGUAGGAUGCGGCACUGGUAAUGAAGUGAGUCAAACUUAUAAAAUCUAAACAAUUUAACUCUAAAUAAGCGAGCGCGAAACAGAGAAAUUUUGCGAGUCAAAUAUUAGGCAAAGCGCACAGGCGCAAUGCAUCGCGACAACUAAAAGCGAAGCAAAGAAGAGAUAAGAACAUAGCGCGCUAACAUCCCUCCCUUUCCCCUCGCCGCCACUCGGGCGCAUGAGCAGCGGCAUCAGCGCUCGCUAGCAAUCGCGCAUGCGCGCCUGGUGGUUUUGUCUCGGCCUGCUGACGAAGUUUUCGUUCUAGCGGAUGCACAUAUGUUUUUGUUUUGGUUUCGAUUUAAUUGGUUUUAUAUGUUUGGCAGCUCGGCCUGCAGUCGCAUAAGCGAAAUUAGAGGAUUACGAUUUGCGAAUGCAAUCUAGGGCACAACCAAUUAAGAAUUUAUUUUAAUUUAAUGUUUAAAUGUUAGUUGGUA
Non-coding RNA from Drosophila takahashii, 1059 nucleotides. The record is from RefSeq and is a predicted model, not a curated record. NCBI's taxonomy places the organism in Eukaryota, Metazoa, Arthropoda, Insecta, Diptera, Drosophilidae.